AGUGAACGCUGGCGGUAGGCCUAACACAUGCAAGUCGAACGGCAGCACAGUAAGAGCUUGCUCUUACGGGUGGCGAGUGGCGGACGGGUGAGGAAUACAUCGGAAUCUACUUUUUCGUGGGGGAUAACGUAGGGAAACUUACGCUAAUACCGCAUACGACCUACGGGUGAAAGCAGGGGAUCUUCGGACCUUGCGCGAUUGAAUGAGCCGAUGUCGGAUUAGCUAGUUGGCGGGGUAAAGGCCCACCAAGGCGACGAUCCGUAGCUGGUCUGAGAGGAUGAUCAGGCACACUGGAACUGAGACACGGUCCAGACGCCUACGGGAGGCAGCAGUGGCGAAGAUUGGUCAAUGGGCGCAAGCCUGAUCCAGCCAUACCGCGUGGGUGAAGAAGGCCUUCGGGUUGUCAAGCCCUUUUGUUGGUAAAGAAAAGCAGCAGGUUAAUACCCCGCUGUUCUGACGGUACCCAAAGAAUAAGCACCGGCUAACUUCGU
RNAcentral lists this ribosomal RNA (491 nucleotides) under uncultured bacterium. RNAcentral's name for it is "partial 16S ribosomal RNA". It matches the Rfam family "Bacterial small subunit ribosomal RNA", at positions 29 to 506 of the family's 1533-position model. The record is from RNAcentral.